UCCCUGGUAGUAUAUCGGUUAGUACACGCGCCUGUCAUUAUUCUGCUUCAGCGCGCGAAAGCUGGGUUCGACUCCCAGCCAGGGAG
Non-coding RNA from Gymnopus androsaceus JB14, 86 nucleotides. The record is from the annotation of a GenBank genome assembly. Lineage: Eukaryota; Fungi; Basidiomycota; Agaricomycetes; Agaricales; Omphalotaceae.